AUGAACGCUGGCGGCAUGCUUCCACAUGUUAGUCGAACGGUAACAGGUCUCCGGACGCUAGACGAGUGGCGAACGGGUGAGUAAUACAUCGGAACGUGCCCAGUCGUGGGGGAUAACUACUCGAAAGAGUAGCUAAUACCGCAUACGAUCUGAGGAUGAAAGCGGGGGACCUUCGGGCCUCGCGCGAUUGGAGCGGCCGAUGGCAGAUUAGGUAGUUGGUGGGAUAAAAGCUUACCAAGCCGACGAUCUGUAGCUGGUCUGAGAGGACGACCAGCCACACUGGGACUGAGACACGGCCCAGACUCCUACGGGAGGCAGCAGUGGGGAAUUUUGGACAAUGGGCGAAAGCCUGAUCCAGCAAUGCCGCGUGCAGGAUGAAGGCCUUCGGGUUGUAAACUGCUUUUGUACGGAACGAAAAAGCUUCUCCUAAUACGAGAGGCCCAUGACGGUACCGUAAGAAUAAGCACCGGCUAACUACGUGCCAGCAGCCGCGGUAAUACGU
RNAcentral lists this ribosomal RNA (502 nucleotides) under uncultured bacterium. RNAcentral describes it as "bacterial SSU rRNA". It matches the Rfam family "Bacterial small subunit ribosomal RNA", at positions 29 to 528 of the family's 1533-position model. The record is from RNAcentral.